Molecule: long non-coding RNA, 1206 nt
Organism: Tyto alba (common barn owl)
Lineage: Eukaryota; Metazoa; Chordata; Aves; Strigiformes; Tytonidae
Exons: 5
Source: RefSeq, a predicted model, not a curated record
CCCGCUCACUUACAGAAAGCUUCGUUGGCCCAAGGGAAUUUUCCUCGAGUUCUCUCUGCACUAGCAUGAACCAAAAGGAAAUGAUAAAAUCCUAACCCGCUGCAAGGAAAGGAGCCUUGCCAGUAACUUCAGCCACCUGAAGAACCAGAUCAGCCUCCUGCUGCUGCUGUUUCCCAGUUCCACCUUGAGCUUUCAGUGUUCCCCAGCAGCUCUGGAUCUUGCAUGGUCUCAGCUACUGAGUAUGAUAGCUGAGAUGUCUGCCUGUGUGAUUUCAAGACCUUGAUCUGCUUCAGCAGCAGCUGGAAGAACUCUACAACUGGGAAGAAGGUUUAGUCAACUCUACAUGGAAGUGGAAAAGAAAACACUGACCUGCUGGAUCACACUGCUUUAAUUGCAUUAAGAAGACUCCUGAUCUGGUCCUGAACACAGCAAGUAACCCCACCCCUGAAGUUGAAGCUUAGAACAGAUUUGAAAGGUCCUGUAACUUCCUUGCAAUUCCAGCGGACUUUGCUGCUGUGGGUUUCCAGGAGCAGCUAGACCUAAAAUAUUCCUGGUGGAUGUGAAAUGAAGUGGAUCCUGGAACCUGUUCACUCAGAGGUUUUUUUACAGGUAUCCCUCAGGUAAUCUACCGUAGAGUUUAACUGUGCAAUUUUUUCACCUUUCCUGGAUAAAAAGAUCUUUUCUUUGUAUCUUCAUCUGGAUAUGUAUCUCUACCCCUGUACCUGUCUACCUAUCUAUCUCUCUAGUUAUCCGUACCUGUCUACGUCUCCAACUUAAAUAACUUGCUUGCCUUUAUCAGUGCAACAAAUCAUUCCUGCUGAAGUGCAGGGUGUCACAGGUACCGUUACUGACCCCAGGCUGCUGUGGGGUGAGGGUCCUUCUGGGAUGGGGGGGGGAUGCUGUUGUUUUUUUUUUUUUCUUCUUUUGAAGGUCAUAUUUUGUGCUAAUCUUCUUCUUAAAAAUGUUUGUACUGUCUCUUUGCUCUAAUAUUUCUUACAAUGCCUUUGUCAUCUAGCUGAACUGAAUUCUGAAUACUUGAUUUGAGACCUAGCCUAGAAAAAAAAAAUACAUCUUUCAAGUUUGACAGUAUGUUAACAUUAUAUUUUAGUAUGUUUUAAGUUUUGAAUCUACUGUUUCCAGCCAAUUUGAAAACAUCAUCGUGUCUAUCCCUCUUUUUCUUCUCUUUCCCUAAACUUUGUGUUUAUU